Molecule: long non-coding RNA, 241 nt
Filed under: Drosophila guanche
Lineage: Eukaryota; Metazoa; Arthropoda; Insecta; Diptera; Drosophilidae
Source: RNAcentral
AUGGAUAUUACAAUUCAGUAAUUUUAUACUCGGUACUCAUAUUAUAAAAUUUUAAUCCAGAACGGAUUAAUCCAAUAAUGAGGUUCCUUCUCCAUGCUUCGUUGCCCUCUAAGCUCCACAUCCACUCUGAAAUAACACACUCCUCCGACUUGCAUAGAAAAUUUGAAGUUUGAACUGAUUUACUUUCUGUCACAAGAAAAUUUACCGCAUCUGGGUACACGGCUAGCGAUACAGAAUAUAU